This is a non-coding RNA of Pseudomonas sp. BRH_c35, 379 nucleotides long. The record is from Rfam. Lineage: Bacteria; Pseudomonadati; Pseudomonadota; Gammaproteobacteria; Pseudomonadales; Pseudomonadaceae.
GGGGCCGAUUAGGAUUCGACGCCGGUAACAAAACUUGAGGGGCAUGCCGAGUUGGUAACAGAACUCGUAAAUAAACUGUUGCAAACUUAUAGUUGCCAACGACGACAACUACGAAGGGUACGCGCUAGCCGCCUAACCUUCAUCUGGUAGCUUCGGCUCCAGCGGUCACUAGGGGAUGCCUGUAAACCCGAAAUGACUGUCAGACAGAACAGGAUCGCCGCCAAGUUCGCUGUAGACGUAACGGCUAAAACUCAUACAGCUCGCUCCAAGCACCCUGCCAAUCGGGCGGCGCGGAGUUAACUCAGUAGAUCUGGCUAAGCAUGUAGAACCGAUAGCGGAGAGCUGGCGGACGGGGGUUCAAAUCCCCCCGGCUCCACCA